RNAcentral lists this transfer RNA (71 nucleotides) under Marmota marmota marmota (Alpine marmot). It matches the Rfam family "tRNA". From Rfam's summary of the family: Transfer RNA (tRNA) molecules are approximately 80 nucleotides in length. Their secondary structure includes four short double-helical elements and three loops (D, anti-codon, and T loops). Further hydrogen bonds mediate the characteristic L-shaped molecular structure. tRNAs have two regions of fundamental functional importance: the anti-codon, which is responsible for specific mRNA codon recognition, and the 3' end, to which the tRNAs corresponding amino acid is attached (by aminoacyl-tRNA synthetases). tRNAs cope with the degeneracy of the genetic code in two manners: having more than one tRNA (with a specific anti-codon) for a particular amino acid; and 'wobble' base-pairing, i.e. permitting non-standard base-pairing at the 3rd anti-codon position. RNAcentral also lists the same sequence under 2 other names. Lineage: Eukaryota; Metazoa; Chordata; Mammalia; Rodentia; Sciuridae. The record is from Rfam by way of RNAcentral.
GUGGUUGUGGCUCAGAGGUAGAGCGCUUGCCUAGCAUGCAUGAGGUACUGGGUUUGAUCCUCAGCACCACG